AAGCAAACCUGACCCCUAAUCAGCUUUGGAGAAUUGGGAGGAUGCAAGUACCGGUGCAAGAGCCAGAUCUGUCUGAGAUCGAACACUUGCAUGACCAGGAAGCUUGUGGUGCUGAUCCAGAACAUGGAGUCAUAGUACCAGAAACUGCAUGCCCCUUGUCAGCUGAGGCUAUUGCGGCCUUACAAGAUAUUAACUCCACUGCAGAGUCCUCUUCUCUUGGGCGGGAUAUCUAUAUGCAUGCUCUUCAAUUGGUCUCAUUCCUUUUGAUGCAGCAAAGUUGGUGAUGACGGUGAUGUGGGGUUCCAACAACUACAAGAGGACCUAAGGGCCAUAUCCACACAGCAACUCCUUACACAAGCAACAAUGGGAUAAAGCAGUCUCCGUGUAAGAGACCUCCAAUGCCUGCUCUAUAGUGAUAGGGUAAUGGUGGCCAUAAUAUGAAAAAUUGUCAGAAUGUUCAGUUUGUGUUAACUGUUUCUAGGACAUGUUGAAUCAACUGUAUGAUCUUUUGUAAGGAUCUCUUUCUCCGCACUAGCAUGUCAAUCAGCUGUGCAAGGAGGCUCCAGCCCACAAGUGUU
Long non-coding RNA from Perca flavescens (yellow perch), 578 nucleotides. RefSeq lists it as uncharacterized. The record is from RefSeq and is a predicted model, not a curated record. The transcript is spliced from 3 exons. Lineage: Eukaryota; Metazoa; Chordata; Actinopteri; Perciformes; Percidae.